This 358-nucleotide ribosomal RNA is filed under the name Staphylococcus aureus. Its description in RNAcentral is "bacterial SSU rRNA". It matches the Rfam family "Bacterial small subunit ribosomal RNA", at positions 1 to 347 of the family's 1533-position model. The record is from RNAcentral. Lineage: Bacteria; Bacillati; Bacillota; Bacilli; Caryophanales; Staphylococcaceae.
UUUUAUGGAGAGUUUGAUCCUGGCUCAGGAUGAACGCUGGCGGCGUGCCUAAUACAUGCAAGUCGAGCGAACGGACGAGAAGCUUGCUUCUCUGAUGUUAGCGGCGGACGGGUGAGUAACACGUGGAUAACCUACCUAUAAGACUGGGAUAACUUCGGGAAACCGGAGCUAAUACCGGAUAAUAUUUUGAACCGCAUGGUUCAAAAGUGAAAGACGGUCUUGCUGUCACUUAUAGAUGGAUCCGCGCUGCAUUAGCUAGUUGGUAAGGUAACGGCUUACCAAGGCAACGAUGCAUAGCCGACCUGAGAGGGUGAUCGGCCACACUGGAACUGAGACACGGUCCAGACUCCUACGGGAG